AGCGAACGCUGGCGGCAGGCUUAACACAUGCAAGUCGAGCGGGCACUUCGGUGUCAGCGGCAGACGGGUGAGUAACACGUGGGAACGUACCCUUCGGUUCGGAAUAACGCUGGGAAACUAGCGCUAAUACCGGAUACGCCCUUUUGGGGAAAGGUUUACUGCCGAAGGAUCGGUCCGCGUCUGAUUAGCUAGUUGGUGGGGUAAUGGCCUACCAAGGCGACGAUCAGUAGCUGGUCUGAGAGGAUGAUCAGCCACACUGGGACUGAGACACGGCCCAGACUCCUACGGGAGGCAGCAGUGGGGAGUAUUGGACAAUGGGCGCAAGCCUGAUCCAGCCAUGCCGCGUGAGUGAUGAAGGCCUUAGGGUUGUAAAGCUCUUUUGUCCGGGACGAUAAUGACGGUACCGGAAGAAUAAGCCCCGGCUAACUUCGUG
This 433-nucleotide ribosomal RNA is filed under the name uncultured bacterium. Its description in RNAcentral is "partial 16S ribosomal RNA". It matches the Rfam family "Bacterial small subunit ribosomal RNA", at positions 29 to 507 of the family's 1533-position model. The record is from RNAcentral.